This 449-nucleotide ribosomal RNA is filed under the name uncultured bacterium. RNAcentral describes it as "partial 16S ribosomal RNA". It matches the Rfam family "Bacterial small subunit ribosomal RNA", at positions 29 to 523 of the family's 1533-position model. The record is from RNAcentral.
AGCGAACGCUGGCGGCAGGCCUAACACAUGCAAGUCGAACGGACCCUUCGGGGUUAGUGGCGGACGGGUGAGUAACACGUGGGAACGUGCCUUUAGGUUCGGAAUAGCUCCUGGAAACGGGUGGUGAUGCCGAAUGUGCCCUUCGGGGGAAGGAUUUAUCGCCUUUAGAGCGGCCCGCGUCUGAUUAGCUAGUUGGUGAGGUAAUGGCUCACCAAGGCGACGAUCAGUAGCUGGUCUGAGAGGAUGACCAGCCACAUUGGGACUGAGACACGGCCCAAACUCCUACGGGAGGCAGCAGUGGGGAAUCUUGCGCAAUGGGCGAAAGCCUGACGCAGCCAUGCCGCGUGGAUGAUGAAGGUCUUAGGAUUGUAAAAUCCUUUCACCGGUGAAGAUAAUGACUGUAGCCGGAGAAGAAGCCCCGGCUAACUUCGUGCCAGCCGCCGCGGUAA